RNAcentral lists this ribosomal RNA (427 nucleotides) under uncultured bacterium. RNAcentral describes it as "bacterial SSU rRNA". It matches the Rfam family "Bacterial small subunit ribosomal RNA", at positions 355 to 775 of the family's 1533-position model. The record is from RNAcentral.
UCGGGAAUUUUGGGCAAUGGGCGAAAGCCUGACCCAGCAACGCCGCGUGAAGGAUGAAAUCCCUCGGGAUGUAAACUUCGCAAGAACGGGAAGAAUAAGUUUCAGCGAACAACUGAAACGAUGACGGUACCGUUUGUAAGCUCCGGCUAACUCCGUGCCAGCAGCCGCGGUAAUACGGGGGGAGCAAGCGUUGUUCGGAUUUACUGGGCGUAAAGGGCGCGUAGGCGGCCAGCGCAAGUCAGUUGUGAAAUCUCCGGGCUUAACUCGGAAAGGUCAACUGAUACUGCGCGGCUAGAGUGCAGAAGGGGCAACUGGAAUUCUUGGUGUAGCGGUGAAAUGCGUAGAUAUCAAGAGGAACACCUGCGGCGAAGGCGGGUUGCUGGGCUGACACUGACGCUGAGUGUGCGAAAGCCAGGGGAGCGAACGG